Molecule: ribosomal RNA, 468 nt
Filed under: uncultured bacterium
Lineage: Bacteria
Description: partial 16S ribosomal RNA
Rfam family: Bacterial small subunit ribosomal RNA
Source: RNAcentral
GACGAACGCUGGCGGCGUGCUUAACACAUGCAAGUCGAACGGAAAGGCCCUGCUUUUGUGGGGUGCUCGAGUGGCGAACGGGUGAGUAACACGUGAGUAACCUGCCCUUGACUUUGGGAUAACUUCAGGAAACUGGGGCUAAUACCGGAUAGGAGCUCCUGCUGCAUGGUGGGGGUUGGAAAGUUUCGGCGGUUGGGGAUGGACUCGCGGCUUAUCAGCUUGUUGGUGGGGUAGUGGCUUACCAAGGCUUUGACGGGUAGCCGGCCUGAGAGGGUGACCGGCCACAUUGGGACGGAGAUACGGCCCAGACUCCUACGGGAGGCAGCAGUGGGGAAUAUUGCACAAUGGGCGGAAGCCUGAGGCAGCAACGCCGCGUGCGGGAUGACGGCCUUCGGGUUGUAAACCGCUUUCGCCUGUGACGAAGCGUGAGUGACGGUAAUGGGUAAAGAAGCACCGGCUAACUACGUG